This 663-nucleotide long non-coding RNA is filed under the name Gallus gallus (chicken). Its description in RNAcentral is "long non-coding RNA NONGGAT002725". The record is from RNAcentral. Lineage: Eukaryota; Metazoa; Chordata; Aves; Galliformes; Phasianidae.
AUACACUUCAGCAAACGCUCGAUCACCAGGCACUAUCUGCAUGCUGUGUGCAGAUCCUGUAGGAACCUGAUGGAGGGAGAAAUCCUCUUCCUGCACUUAGAGCACACCACUGUGCUAGUUCUUGCACAUCAAAGUGCCAGACCACACCUGUGCAAACGCAACAAUGCCCAUUCCACAUGGUUCAGUUCCAGCAGGUGAUACACAGGGUGCACAUGAUUGCUGAGAAAUGGCACCUCCACACAAUUCCUUAAAACAUUCCUUCAGAUCCAGUCCGGUGUACAGGCAAUAUCUACCUGAUGGACUGAUGAGUCCAGGAUUGAUGAGGAUAUCUACGGCCAAGAUCUGCACAGUGCGCCAAGAGAACUGGGAAUUUCAGGGACUACUUUACUUGGUUGCUGCUCUCACAUCCUUGUUUUGGCUGUAAGCUGUUCCUUGCCUGAAUCAGUAAUUGCCUGCGAUCCUCCAUGAACACGUGCAACAGAAAACGCUCCACUGCAGAUUCAGGAAGAGCCAUUGCCAUGGAUGCUGAGGCUGCACAAAGAGGUGGAUGUUAGGCAACAUAGCUGCAAAGCAUAUGUACUGGCAUGCGGGGUAUCUUCAUGCACUGAAUGCUAUAACAUUCAAGAAACUUAUUAUCAAGUCAGUUAUGAAAAUGAACCACUU